GACGAAGGGGGCUAGCGUUGUUCGGAAUUACUGGGCGUAAAGGGCUCGUAGGUGGCCAACUAAGUCGGACGUGAAAUCCCUCGGCUUAACCGGGGAACUGCGUCCGAUACUGGUUGGCUUGAGUUUGGGAGAGGGAUGCGGAAUUCCAGGUGUAGCGGUGAAAUGCGUAGAUAUCUGGAGGAACACCGGUGGCGAAGGCGGCUAUCUGGACAGAGUCUGACGCUGAGGCGCGAAAGCUAGGGGAGCAAACAGG
Molecule: ribosomal RNA, 253 nt
Filed under: uncultured bacterium
Lineage: Bacteria
Description: partial 16S ribosomal RNA
Rfam family: Bacterial small subunit ribosomal RNA
Source: RNAcentral